Molecule: ribosomal RNA, 465 nt
Filed under: uncultured bacterium
Lineage: Bacteria
Description: partial 16S ribosomal RNA
Rfam family: Bacterial small subunit ribosomal RNA
Source: RNAcentral
CUACGGGAUGCACCAGUGGAGAAUAUUGGACAAUGGGGGAAACCCUGAUCCAGCAAUGCCGCGUGUGUGAAGAAGGCCUGCGGGUUGUAAAGCACUUUCGGUUGGGAGGACUGCUUCUAGCACUAAUAUUGUUGGAAGUUGACGUUACCUUCAGAAGAAGCACCGGCUAACUCCGUGCCAGCAGCCGCGGUAAUACGGAGGGUGCAAGCGUUAAUCGGAAUUACUGGGCGUAAAGCGCGCGUAGGCGGCUAGAUCAGUCGGGUGUGAAAGCCCCGGGCUUAACCUGGGAACUGCAUCCGAUACUGUCUAGCUUGAGUACAGGAGAGGAGAGUGGAAUUCCACAUGUAGCGGUGAAAUGCGUAGAUAUGUGGAGGAACACCAAUGGCGAAGGCAGCUCUCUGGCCUGAUACUGACGCUAAGGUGCGAAAGCGUGGGGAGCAAACAGGAUUAGAUACCCCCGUAGUC